Molecule: ribosomal RNA, 427 nt
Filed under: uncultured Acidobacteriota bacterium
Lineage: Bacteria; Pseudomonadati; Acidobacteriota
Description: bacterial SSU rRNA
Rfam family: Bacterial small subunit ribosomal RNA
Source: RNAcentral
AACGCGAAGAACCUUACCUGGGCUUGAACCGCACAGGACCAGCUCCAGAAAUGGGGCCUUCCCGCAAGGGACCUGUGUAGAGGUGCUGCAUGGCUGUCGUCAGCUCGUGCCGUGAGGUGUUGGGUUAAGUCCCGCAACGAGCGCAACCCUUACUCAUAGUUGCUACCCGCAAGGGAGAACUCUAUGAGGACUGCUCCGGAUAACGGAGAGGAAGGUGGGGAUGAGGUCAAGUCAGCAUGGCCUUUAUGUCCAGGGCUACACACGUGUUACAAUGCGCGCAACAAAGCGUUGCAAACCCGCGAGGGGGAGCUAAUCGCAAAAAAGCGCGCUCAGUUCGGAUUGCAGUCUGCAACUCGACUGCAUGAAGCCGGAAUCGCUAGUAAUGGCGCAUCAGAACGGCGCCGUGAAUACGUUCCCGGGCCUUGUA